AAAAAGGGAAGGUGGGAUUUGGUGAGAAAACUUACAUGAGCUAAUCAACGGGUUGUGAAUGUUUAGUUUCCUCUUAGAGAUUAGUUUAAUGGUCCAACCGAGCAUUGAUAAAGAGUAAGACUUGUGCCCAAAUUAAUUUUGAAUAUAUUAAAUCAUAUUAGUUUAAGAUGAACUAUUAGAUGCUUUGUGCAUGAAUAAAAAGGAGAAACAAGAGUGAAGAGGCCAAAAU
Molecule: unclassified non-coding RNA, 229 nt
Filed under: Hevea brasiliensis (rubber tree)
Lineage: Eukaryota; Viridiplantae; Streptophyta; Magnoliopsida; Malpighiales; Euphorbiaceae
Source: RNAcentral